ACCGAUAGCGCAUAGUACCGUGAGGGAAAGGUGAAAAGAACCCCUGGCGGGGAGUGAAAGAGAACCUGAAACCGUAUGUCUACAAACAGUCGAAGUCUGUAUAUAUAUCAGGACGACGGCGUGCCUAUUGAAGAAUGAACCGACGAGUUACUGUUGCUAGCGAGGUUAAGUGGAAAACAUGGAGCCGCAGCGAAAGCGAGUCUGAACAGGGCGUUCAGUUAGUAAUAGUAGACCCGAAACCGUAGUGAUCUAUCCAUGGCCAGGUUGAAGCACAGGUAAAAUUGUGUGGAGGACCGAACUCGUGAGCGUUGAAAAGCUUUGGGAUGAGUUGUGGAUAGGGGUGAAAUGCCAAUCGAACACGGAGAUAGCUGGUUCUCCCCGAAAUAGCUUUAGGGCUAGCCUCGAGGUAGAGAGUAUAGGCGGUAGAGCACUGAUCGGGCUAGGGGCCAUACCGGUUACCGAACCUAGUCAAACUACGAAUGGCUAUACUUAUACUCGGGAGUCAGACAGUGAAUGAUAAGGUCCAUUGUCAAGAGGGAAACAGCCCAGAACACCGACUAAGGUCCCCAAUGUUACACUAAGUGGCGAAGGAUGUGGAAUUUCCAAAACAACCAGGAUGUUGGCUUAGAAGCAGCCACCAUUUAAAGAGUGCGUAAUAGCUCACUGGUCGAGAGACUCUGCGCCGAAAAUGUCCGGGGCUAAAGUGUAAAACCGAAGUCGUGUCAUAUGCAGCAAUGUAUAUGGGUAGGGGAGCGUUCUCAUCGGGCUGAAGCAGUACCGUAAGGAGUUGUGGACUGAUGAGAAGUGAGAAUGUCGGUAUGAGUAGCGAAAAGAAUGGUGAGAAUCCAUUCCACCGAAAGCCUAAGGGUUCCUGAGCAACGAUCGUCGUCUCAGGGUAAGUCGGGACCUAAGCCGAGGCGGAACAGCGUAGGCGAUGGACAACAGGUUGAAAUUCCUGUACCGGUGUGAAUCGUUUGAUCGAUGGAGUGACACAGUAAGGUAGGUCAGCACGCGAUUGGAAGAGCGUGUUUAAGCAGGUAGGUUGAGCUAUAGGCAAAUCCGUAGCUCUAAAAGCUGAGAUGUGAUGACGAGUGACUAGCAAUAGUCGCGAAGUGAUUGAUCCUACACUGUCGAGAAAAGCUUCUAGGUAGAGACACAUCGCCCGUACCAAAACCGACACAGGUAGGCGGGGAGAGAAUCCUAAGGUGCGCGGGAAAACCCUCGUUAAGGAACUCGGCAAAAUGCCUCCGUAACUUCGGGAAAAGGAGGACUCAUGUAGUGUGAAGAGCAGAAGCGCUUGGAGCAUGAAUGAGUGGCACAAGAGAGGCGCAAGCGACUGUUUACCACAAACACAGGUGCCUGCUAAAGCGAAAGCUGAUGUAUAGGUGCUGACACCUGCCCGGUGCUGGAAGGUUAAGAGGAGGGGUUAGACUUCGGUCGAAGCUCUGAAUUGAAGCCCCAGUAAACGGCGGCCGUAACUAUAACGGUCCUAAGGUAGCGAAAUUCCUUGUCGGGUAAGUUCCGACCCGCACGAAAGGUGUAACGACUUGCGCACUGUCUCAACGAGGGACCCGGUGAAAUUGAAGUACCUGUGAAGAUGCAGGUUACCCGCGACUGGACAGAAAGACCCCAUGGAGCUUUACUGCAACCUAAGAUUGAACUUAGUUAAUGAAUGUACAGGAUAGGUGGGAGACGGAGAACCUAGGACGCCAGUUUUAGGGGAGUCGCUGUUGGGAUACCACCCUUUCAUUAAUUGAUUUCUAACGGGCCGAGUAACGACCGGCCGGACAGUCUUAGGCGGGCAGUUUGACUGGGGCGGUCGCCUCCAAAAGAGUAACGGAGGCGCCCAAAGGUUCCCUCAGAGCGGACGGAAAUCGCUCGAAGAGUGUAAAGGCAGAAGGGAGCUUGACUGCGAGACGGACAGGUCGAGCAGGGACGAAAGUCGGGCUUAGUGAUCCGGUGGUGCCGAGUGGAAGGGCCAUCGCUCAACGGAUAAAAGCUACCCUGGGGAUAACAGGCUAAUCUCUCCCAAGAGUCCAUAUCGACGGGGAGGUUUGGCACCUCGAUGUCGGCUCAUCACAUCCUGGGGCUGAAGUAGGUCCCAAGG
This 2107-nucleotide ribosomal RNA is filed under the name metagenome. Its description in RNAcentral is "bacterial LSU rRNA". It matches the Rfam family "Bacterial large subunit ribosomal RNA", at positions 483 to 2570 of the family's 2925-position model. The record is from RNAcentral.